Poecilia latipinna (sailfin molly) is the source of this 254-nucleotide long non-coding RNA. RefSeq lists it as uncharacterized. The record is from RefSeq and is a predicted model, not a curated record. The transcript is spliced from 2 exons. NCBI's taxonomy places the organism in Eukaryota, Metazoa, Chordata, Actinopteri, Cyprinodontiformes, Poeciliidae.
AAAAUGUGACAGUGGGAGGAAAGCUGCGAUGUGGUGAGGAGGAGCUGAUCUCCGCCUUGCAGCGGGAGGAAAGCAGGUAGCUCAGACGGUUCAGACCAUCAUGGUUCUUCGUGCAGCCUUUGGGUUGUAGGACGUCUCAUCAGUGUUCGUCUUCCUGCCUGCUGGCUGGUGUUUACCUUCAGGAUGUCCAGAGACCUUCACCUUUCUGGAGCAGGAAUCACAUGAGCUCAAUAUGCUGAUGAAAUAUUUCUGAU